This 253-nucleotide ribosomal RNA is filed under the name uncultured bacterium. RNAcentral's name for it is "partial 16S ribosomal RNA". It matches the Rfam family "Bacterial small subunit ribosomal RNA", at positions 524 to 776 of the family's 1533-position model. The record is from RNAcentral.
UACGUAGGGGGCCAGCGUUGUCCGGACUUACUGGGCGUAAAGCGCGCGCAGGCGGACCUGUAUGUGCCGUGUGAAAGCGCCGGACUUACUUCGGCGAGGUCAUGGUAGACAGCGGGUCUGGAGCCUCGGAGAGGUCGGUGGAAUUCCGGGUGGAGCGGUGAAAUGCGUAGAGAUCCGGAGGAACACCAGGGGCGAAGGCGGCCGACUGGCCGAGUGCUGACGCUGAGACGCGAAAGCUAGGGUAGCAAACGGG